Molecule: unclassified non-coding RNA, 406 nt
Filed under: Hevea brasiliensis (rubber tree)
Lineage: Eukaryota; Viridiplantae; Streptophyta; Magnoliopsida; Malpighiales; Euphorbiaceae
Source: RNAcentral
UGAGUAGAGAAGGUGUUGUUCUUGCUGCUGUUAUGGCUAAUUCCAGCAGCAUCUUUUGUAGGGUUGGUUCUGAAGGAGACAAGCUAAAAUCCGAUUGCUUGAAGGUGCAAUUUUGCCAUCCAAAUGGUGAUCUCUUCACUUUACUUUCUGUUUACAAGGAAUGGGAGGCUGUGCCUAAGGAAGGAAAGAAUUCCUGGUGUUGGGAUAAUAGCAUCAAUGCCAAAUCCAUGAGAAGAUGCCAGGAGACUGUGCAAGAACUGGAAGCAUGCCUUAAGAGCGAACUUAAUAUCAUUGUUGCAAGCUACUGGCAUUGGGAUCCUCAGAUGCAUACCGAGCAUGAUGAAACUUUGAAAAGAAUAAUACUUUCUUCAUUUGCAGAGAAUGUUGCUAUGUAUUCUGGAUAUGA